GACUAACGGGAAUGAAGUUCUCCCUUGGUUAUAACCUAAACCGCUUAUUAAGCUGAUGACUUCUG
Molecule: non-coding RNA, 65 nt
Filed under: Lachnoclostridium phytofermentans
Lineage: Bacteria; Bacillati; Bacillota; Clostridia; Lachnospirales; Lachnospiraceae
Description: Fluoride riboswitch
Rfam family: Fluoride riboswitch aptamer (crcB RNA motif)
Source: RNAcentral